UCCCUGGAGGACUAGCGGUUAGGCCACAGCACUUUCACUGCUGCAGCCCGGGUUUGAGUCCCAGCCACUGGAG
Molecule: transfer RNA, 73 nt
Filed under: Pangasianodon gigas (Mekong giant catfish)
Lineage: Eukaryota; Metazoa; Chordata; Actinopteri; Siluriformes; Pangasiidae
Description: tRNA-Glu
Rfam family: tRNA
About the family: Transfer RNA (tRNA) molecules are approximately 80 nucleotides in length. Their secondary structure includes four short double-helical elements and three loops (D, anti-codon, and T loops). Further hydrogen bonds mediate the characteristic L-shaped molecular structure. tRNAs have two regions of fundamental functional importance: the anti-codon, which is responsible for specific mRNA codon recognition, and the 3' end, to which the tRNAs corresponding amino acid is attached (by aminoacyl-tRNA synthetases). tRNAs cope with the degeneracy of the genetic code in two manners: having more than one tRNA (with a specific anti-codon) for a particular amino acid; and 'wobble' base-pairing, i.e. permitting non-standard base-pairing at the 3rd anti-codon position.
Source: RNAcentral